AGCAUUCCGAGCUCUCUGAAGGAACACAGUGUACGGCUGUGCUUUGGCCCUGGGGCCCAUGGGCUGGGGAGGCAGAGGACCCGUCAUGUACUGCUAAGAGUCUACUGUGGGCAGACACUGCUGGGAAUCAGAACAUGGAAGAUGCCCCGUUCCUCUCAAGGAAGGCAGAGCUGCUGGGAGUUCCAGACAGAGGCAGGCAGAUAGACCUCUGUGAGGUUGAUGCCAGCUUGGUCUACAUAGCCACUUCUAGGCUAACACAGUGAGAUGCUGUCAUAGACAAAUUCCUUGGUGUGUCCAAGAUGUAAAGGGAGAGAGACAGCAGAGACAUCCUAAGUCAAACCUUUCCCUCAGCACUGCUCACUUCACACACAUUAGGAGAAUACUCACACCUACAAUACACAACUACACCUAAGGCUCGGGACAUUGCAAAGAGGAGGCAGAAAGAGUGUAAGAGCCAGGGGACCAGCAUUCUGUGAGGUUUUGUCUCCUAGUAACAUCAGAAGCUAUGCCUGUAAAGUCUUACCAGCAUCACUGCCUAAACAUGACCCGACGAAGGAUCAUAAUCAAUGGUUAUGUCAACUGAAUGGGAAAAAAAGCCCAAUGAGGCCUGAACCCUACACAAAAACUAUAGGCAACUGAGUGAAGCUGGAGCGAGAGGUGGCCCUCCCCAGGGAAAAGCACACCAACUUGUCAUCUAGUGUGGAAUGGUGACACAAGCAACCCUGUAUGGACUCAGCAGGCUGUAUUUAGAAAUAUAUAUGCAUGUAUAUACAGACACAUCUAUGCAUGCAAUAUCAACUGAUGAAAAAAGAGGCUAUGGCUUUGAAAGAGUAUGUGUGUGGAGGUAACUAGGAAGGCCUGGAAGGAGGAAAGGCAAGGGAGAAACAUUUUAACGAGAAUACAAGCUCAAAUCUAAACCCCAACCAAAAGAGUAAAAAGCAUGCUUGCUUGCAACCCCACAAGCUGCCAGCCAAUGCCACCACUCCUGUCCUCUGGCUCCCUGGCUACCUGCAGGUGGCACAGUGCCCCUAAACACCCACCUGGCCCAAGGCUAGCUCCUAUCAGAGUUAUACUCAGCAAGCACCUCUUAGUGACUUCCACUGUCACCAUCUCCUCACCACACUCCUCUUUGCUCCACUCAAUGCUACUAGCCAGGGUGAGUGUAGUUCGUUGGUUUGUGUUGCCCAUCUUCUUCAAGACAAAACGCUCCUGAGGGCAGGAAUUCUCAUGUUACUUCACUGCUAUAAUCCUCGGGUCCGGAAAAGCACUCAAUGCAUAACAGGCAUUCAAUAAGUGUUUGUGGACUUGU
RNAcentral lists this long non-coding RNA (1309 nucleotides) under Mus caroli (Ryukyu mouse). Its description in RNAcentral is "predicted gene 16364 (MGP_CAROLIEiJ_G0002498.1)". Lineage: Eukaryota; Metazoa; Chordata; Mammalia; Rodentia; Muridae. The record is from RNAcentral.